RNAcentral lists this ribosomal RNA (339 nucleotides) under Triticum aestivum (bread wheat). RNAcentral's name for it is "partial small subunit ribosomal RNA". The record is from RNAcentral. Lineage: Eukaryota; Viridiplantae; Streptophyta; Magnoliopsida; Poales; Poaceae.
GAGGAGUUGGCGAUGAACAAGGUCAAGGAUGUGGCUGAACUUUAUGUUCUGGCCGAUAGAUGUGAUCGAGCUGAAGAGGGGAGGAUGUACCCCGGCGAGGACGCCGGUGCGGAAACCGACUCCACAGACGAAGACACCGCCGCUCCAACGAAGAAGGGCCGGCACUGCAACAGGAAGCGCAAGGGCAAGACUAUGCUUGCUGUUGAGGGAUCCAGCGAGCUCGGCGCCACCAAAAAGGCCAAGCCUGACGACCCCGACAAGGAGGUUCUCGGGUGCGCCGCCUGCUUGGCCCUGGCGGCUGUCGGCAAGCCAGGAGGCUCCGACAAGCAGUAUUGCAAG